UUAAGAACCGAUCUUAAUGAGUUUCUUACACUGUUCGCGGGCCCCACUAACACAUGGCGGCCCGCGAUUGGGUUGCUUCUUAAUUUUUUUUUUUUUUUUUAAACUAAGAAAUCCAUCGGGGGUUUCUAAGGAAUAAUCAUGCUAAGGUUGUGAUAGUUUCAACACCUCCCCCGACCUUAUCCUCUCCACAGCCUCUCGUUUACUUUUUAGAUCUGAGUUCAAACUCCGGCGACUGGACGGCGCUCACGCGUUCCGACACCGGAAAUCUUCGUCUUCUCUUUUUUUUUUUUAGUUAUGUCUUUGCUUCUCUUUGGUCUCAGCUAUUCUGUCGUCUUGCUUUCGGCACUGACAUGGUGUGUAUCUCCGGUUAAUCACCUGCUCGUGUGGAGCGACGAUUCCGGCGGUUACCUGCUUCACCUGGAGUCAAGGUACGGUGGUGUGGGCUGUUUCUUCAGGCGGAGUCGGCUUUGAAGGGCCAGCCUUUGACUGCUUCGAUGGGUGGUGUGAAAACGAAGCUCCUCUGUUUAUUCUGUGAUGUUCUGAUGGUGUAGAUCUGUAGCCUACCCUUGGUGUAGGCAUGUGAAACGUGGAAAAAUGUCAUUCCUCUGUCUUUGAUGAGGUACGGUUUUUUGAAACAGUGGAGCAUGGUCCUUUUCAAGCCUUGUUCCCAAUUGAGGCAGUCAUAAUUUUCUAGUUUUGGUCUCUAAGGAUGGUCUCGGUGUUGGUACCAGAACUUGGUUCCGGUGUUUUCUUUUUUUCUUAUGUAUGUUUAUCGGAUGUUAGCGUUUAGUGAUCUGUUAGUUGGAGCGCGUCUCAGUCUCGGUGGUUGGAAUUUGACAGUUCUGUUGCAGUCUUCUUUUCUUGGUAUCGAUUGGCGGGCCGAGGGCAGCAACGAUAUAUUCAGAUUACUGUCUUCUGCUAUUUAGGAGGAUGUUGCAAUGAAUCGUCUUAUGUUCUAUGAAUUGUCUUAUGUUCUUGAGUAGAUCGGUCUAAGUUUAUGUGUCUUAUUUGUGGUUUAUAGUUUCCUGUCCUGCUUGGUAUGUUCGUAAGCUACCCCGAUGUGGGUUUUAGUCGCCUUUCCUUGGGCUCUUGUGUUUGGGAUGUCCUAUUAUCCGCCAGUUGAUGUAUCCAAUGUUGUAUUCUUCCGUUGAAUGAAA
This 1157-nucleotide long non-coding RNA is filed under the name Brassica napus (rape). Its description in RNAcentral is "long non-coding RNA (BNAP_LNC020719)". The record is from RNAcentral. Lineage: Eukaryota; Viridiplantae; Streptophyta; Magnoliopsida; Brassicales; Brassicaceae.